CAACAGGUUGAGAUUCCUGUACUAAUAUUAAUCGUUAAGAGCAAUGGAGGGACGCAGUAGGCUAAUGGCGCAUGUAACUGGAAUCAUGUGUAAGCGUCAAGGCUUGAAGUGAGUCAAAUGCUUGCUUCUAAAAGGCUGAGGCGUGAUGCGGAGCGAAAUAAAGUAGCGAAGGUCAUGAUGUCACACUGCCGAGAAAAGCUUCUAGCCAGAGAGAUAUUACCCGUACCGCAAACCGACACAGGUAGUCGAGGAGAGAAUCCUCAGGUGAGCGAG
Molecule: ribosomal RNA, 273 nt
Filed under: Vibrio cholerae
Lineage: Bacteria; Pseudomonadati; Pseudomonadota; Gammaproteobacteria; Vibrionales; Vibrionaceae
Description: partial 23S ribosomal RNA
Rfam family: Bacterial large subunit ribosomal RNA
Source: RNAcentral